ACCUGCAUAGUUCGAAAUUGAAAGGCGGCUUCGGCUGUCACUUAUGGAUGGACCCGCGUCGCAUUAGCUAGUUGGUGAGGUAACGGCUCACCAAGGCGACGAUGCGUAGCCGACCUGAGAGGGUGAUCGGCCACACUGGGACUGAGACACGGCCCAGACUCCUACGGGAGGCAGCAGUAGGGAAUCUUCCGCAAUGGACGAAAGUCUGACGGAGCAACGCCGCGUGAGUGAUGAAGGCUUUCGGGUCGUAAAACUCUGUUGUUAGGGAAGAACAAGUGCUAGUUGAAUAAGCUGGCACCUUGACGGUACCUAACCAGAAAGCCACGGCUAACUA
RNAcentral lists this ribosomal RNA (334 nucleotides) under Bacillaceae bacterium BF.151. Its description in RNAcentral is "bacterial SSU rRNA". It matches the Rfam family "Bacterial small subunit ribosomal RNA", at positions 184 to 503 of the family's 1533-position model. Lineage: Bacteria; Bacillati; Bacillota; Bacilli; Caryophanales; Bacillaceae. The record is from RNAcentral.